AUGGGGCUGCUGGAGCUUAACCGGUUGAUGUCCAUGCGGCAGCGUCGGCGCCACCGGAAAAUCCAAUCCCGUAGUAUGUCGAUUUCUUCGGCUAAACGAAAGGGCUUGCCUGGUCAACAAGACGUCAAUCCCCAAGCUUGCAAACGAAGGACGUAUUCAGUGCCGGACCUUCCAAAGGACAUCUGGCAUGAUAUACUGUCCCUGCUGCCGCUGUCAGAUGCUGCCCGAGCUGGCUGUGUGUCUCACACAUUUCUAAGCUCCUGGAGAUCCCAUCCCAACCUCACCUUAAGCAAGGAAACACUGGGCCUGAAUGGAAAUGCAUGUGGACAAGAUGAACUGGCACGGAUUUUCACCAACAGAGUUGACUGCAUUAUGGAAAAUCACUCAGGUGGCUUGAAGACAUUCAAGCUUGAUUAUUGUGGUUCUUCUUUCGACACCAGCUGUCUCAACAGGUGGCUUGACAGUGCUGUUACUCCAGGGAUUGAAGAAGUCAAACUUUCAAUGCCUCUAGGAUGCAACGCAGUUUAUUACGGCUUCCCAUGCUCAGUUUUAUUCAGUGGGAGUGGAAACUCAAUUCGACAUCUUCACCUUAGCCGUCGUGCCUUCCAUCCCACGGCAGGACUUGGUUGCUUGACAAGGCUCCAUCUGUCUCAGGUGCACAUCACGGGAGAUGAGUUAGGGCACCUUCUGUCCAAUUCUCUUGCUAUGGAGGAGCUGACUCUCAAUGGUUGUGGUAAGAUCAUUCACCUCAAGAUAUCUUGCCUGCUACAUCGGCUCAACAGCCUGUCAGUGUUUAAUUGCACAGCUCUGCAAGUGAUAGAGAAUAAAGCACCAAAUGUUUGCCUUGUCCGCAUCGAUGGCGCCCUAGAGGAACGUCUGGUUGGAGAUUUGUUGCAGGUGAAGGAACUGCAAAUGUUGGAUUACUACGAAUGUGACCUUGUUCAUUAUGCUUGUUCCAAGCUUCCAUUCAUCAUGCCAAAUCUUGAAACCCUCGGCCUAUCUUCGGCUGGAGAGAUGCUCAGCACACCAAUCUUAGCUGUCAAAUUCCUCUACCUGAAGAAGCUGCGGAUUGAUCUUAAUGAUCUACAGAUGGGGGGCUUUUCCCCAGCCUAUGAUUAUUUUUCUCUAGCUUAUUUCCUGGAUGCGUGUCCUGUCGUGGAGAAGUUUGUGUUGGGUGUAUCACAGACUCGAGUAAAGCAUGAAUUGAUUUGUGAUGAAGACUCGAACAUGAGACAGAUGCUGGGACAUCGCCAUUGCAACCUCAAGAACGUCAGGAUAAUGGGCUUCUGCUCUGCAAAGAGCAUGGUCGAACUAACUUGCCAUAUUCUUGAGAAUGCAACUUCACUCGAGCGCCUUACGUUGGACGCCAUAUACGAUAAUAGUAGUUAUGGGGACGCUGAUAGGUCUUGUGUCGGAAAAAAGGGUGAAUGCAACCCAAAAAGCAGGAGUAUCAUCAAGCACGCCCACAAAGGGCUGUGGGCAAUUGGUAAAUAUGUCGUGGAGAAAGUUCCCUCCACGGUUCAGUUAAGUGUGAAGAAGCUCUGCAGCCGUUGCCAUAAAAUUAAAUGGUGGUGCCUGGCCAUGCAGGCUUUAAAAAUACAAGUGUAUUUCGUGUACCUUCUUCAGUUGAUGAAACAUUCUAUCAGUGUUGUACAAAAAUACAUGGGCCGUGCUUUCUUUGUUUCUUUCUUAAACAAUCAUUUGUCUGGUUAUGUCAAGAUCAGCUCCUGGUGA
RNAcentral lists this ribosomal RNA (1734 nucleotides) under Triticum aestivum (bread wheat). RNAcentral's name for it is "partial small subunit ribosomal RNA". Lineage: Eukaryota; Viridiplantae; Streptophyta; Magnoliopsida; Poales; Poaceae. The record is from RNAcentral.